CACACCGCCCGUCACACCAUGGGAGUCGAUUGCUCCAGAAGUCGGAGAGCUAACCGCAAGGAGGCAUCCGCCCAAGGAGUGGUCGGUAACUGGGGUG
This 97-nucleotide ribosomal RNA is filed under the name uncultured bacterium. RNAcentral describes it as "partial 16S ribosomal RNA". It matches the Rfam family "Bacterial small subunit ribosomal RNA", at positions 1386 to 1482 of the family's 1533-position model. The record is from RNAcentral.